UUAGCGUUUACGAAAUCUUCAAAUUUAAGUAAUUUGCCUCGUAAUUUGCAGUUAAACAUGUUAGGUACCUAAUUUAAUUAUUUCCUAUAAACAAAUUAAAGUAAAAUGCUAGUGUUUGCGAUCGUCCCAUAGCGCUAAUCGGCGUUGGCUUCAGGUAAAUCAGAUAUGGAAUGGUUUCGAGGGCCGUAGUCGGGUCACGCCGAUCGCCAUUUAGAAGACAGGUCAGCGCGAGGGUCAACAGGUCAAAUUUUGGACGGGCGAACCAGAUGAAAACCAGUCUACAUUUAGGGACACAAGUUUUACUUAAUGAUCUGGAAGCUGUGGUCGUCGAAACAUGGAUCGAAUUGUAGAGAAGAAAUGUAGAUACGGGAUAGGAGUCUGCAAAACCUUACACCGCCCUCUCAUCAAAGCCGGAUUACUGCUAUUCCCAAUGGAGUCAAAGAGGUCCGUGAGACUCAUGGAUACUUGAACCUAACCAUUUCUGUUUACUCAUCACCUCUGAAUAGGAGUACGGUUCGUCCUUCCUUUGAUUAAUGCCGCUUCGUAGUAGAGACCGAAUUAAUAAGGCUAAAGGAUUCCUGAAGGGCAGCCUUAUAAAGGUAGGAUUUUUACUUUUUUACGUGCAUGGUGUAUUUUUUUUUAUUUUGUGUAUCUAGCAGUGUGUGGUGGGGAAGUGAAUGGUGGAAAAUCAAGGACAAUUUUCUGCUGCACGUUGUAUUGAAUUACCGAGUGGGUUUAACCAUCUUCUCGACAAUUCUUCAUCUUGGUGACGUAAGAUUGACUAUAAUGCUU
This is a long non-coding RNA of Photinus pyralis (common eastern firefly), 792 nucleotides long. RefSeq lists it as uncharacterized. The record is from RefSeq and is a predicted model, not a curated record. The transcript has 6 exons. Lineage: Eukaryota; Metazoa; Arthropoda; Insecta; Coleoptera; Lampyridae.